RNAcentral lists this ribosomal RNA (433 nucleotides) under uncultured bacterium. RNAcentral's name for it is "partial 16S ribosomal RNA". It matches the Rfam family "Bacterial small subunit ribosomal RNA", at positions 29 to 507 of the family's 1533-position model. The record is from RNAcentral.
AACGAACGCUGGCGGCAUGCCUAACACAUGCAAGUCGAACGAGACCUUCGGGUCUAGUGGCGCACGGGUGCGUAACGCGUGGGAACCUGCCCUUAGGUUCGGAAUAACUCCCCGAAAGGGGUGCUAAUACCGGAUAAUGUCUUCGGACCAAAGAUUUAUCGCCUUUGGAUGGGCCCGCGUUGGAUUAGCUAGUUGGUAGGGUAAGAGCCUACCAAGGCGACGAUCCAUAGCUGGUCUGAGAGGAUGAUCAGCCACACUGGGACUGAGACACGGCCCAGACUCCUACGGGAGGCAGCAGUGGGGAAUAUUGGACAAUGGGCGAAAGCCUGAUCCAGCAAUGCCGCGUGAGUGAUGAAGGCCUUAGGGUUGUAAAGCUCUUUUACCCGGGAUGAUAAUGACAGUACCGAGAGAAUAAGCUCCGGCUAACUCCGUG